GUAAAAUUCCAUUUGAUAAAUCCCAGGGAGUUUCCAGAGUUUUGUGUGUUGUGUUGUGUUUUGUUUUGCUUUGUUUCCACCUCCAGCUGGAUAUUGUGCUUGAAUUUGUGAGUCUUCUGACAAGACACAUUUCUCUUUAAAAUAGAGUGAUUUUUAAAUUGUCUUGUGAAAUCAACCCAGGUUACCUUGAGCCGUUUACUUACAUCAAGUCUACUCUUGCCAGUGUGUGCCAACAACCAGUUUGGCAAAGUGAAAUCUUAGCAUGUUUUGGAUGGUAGGAGCACUAACCUUACAGUGUUGAGGAGACAAAGAAAGCUACCAAGAUUUGUCACAUAUCUUUUUAAUUGUCCAUACCAUACCUACUAUGACUGUGUUAGACACACCACCGAAUAGAUGGUGUUCUUAGCAUCACUAUCAUAGUUUCACAUCAUUUCCUUGCCAUGGUUCUUCUAGGGAGCACUGGGGAGUCAGCCAAGAAAAAUGAGAUUAGAGGUAGUGACUUGUUUUAGUGUCCAGAAGCCCAGUAUGGAGUGGACCACAGUCCCCGGACAAGUGUGUGUAGAGCAUGCUGGCUCUUGUAUGAUUCCCAGUCUGCCUGUCUGCCUGACUUCUCUUCCUUUCCCUCUUUCUCUUUGUUGUUGUUUGAGACAGUCUUGCUACGGAGACCCAGGACUCACUUCUGCUUCUGCCUCCCAAAUGCUAGGAUCACAUACUUACUGAAAUCGUGUUCUUCCAAUUUCCUUUAAUUAGCUUGCUUUUAGAUUGGCUCGCCGCCAUCUCUAAAGCCUAGGAAAGAAGUGCAGACUUGGCUGUAAUGCCAGCAGCUUUCAGGCCAUAGUGUCGACUUCCUGCCUGCUUGUGGACAAAGGAAGUAUGCUGCUGAUGCCCAGACAGUGCCAUUUGAAUAUUAGGUGACCGUGAAACACCAUACUGCCAAGUGUCUGCAAACCAGAAGACAGUUUAGUUCAGGAAAUAUUUUGCCAAAUUCAGGGGCUUUAUUAAAAUCAAAGAGGAGAAAGAGGAAAUAUUUUGUCCUUAGAUGCUAAUAUGUUUUAGGCUUUCUUUUUCUGUUUUAUAAAGUUAACCCAGUAUUUACAUUUCCAUAUUGUGUGAAUUGAACCAUCUAAAUAUAUUUUUCUUUUGUUAUUGAAAGGUACCAAAGGCUUUUUAUGUUUUGUUUGGUUUGUUUGAUUUUAUUGUAGGGUUUGUUUUUUUUUUUCUAGAAAUACCUUUUAUAUAGACUAGUCCCCAAGUGUCUGGGUCUACUUCAGUCUGUGUAAUUGGUUUUUACCUCAGUUCAUUUGUAUUUGUCUCUCAAGGCAUUGGUGAAAUCUCAGAUUUUAUAUUCUGCUUUAAAGGGGAAUAAAUUCCAGAAAACAUGCAUUAUAAAGCUGGAGUUGUUUCUUCCCAUUCUCUCUCCUUUUCCAACUUUUAUCCUGGAGUUAGCUUGGAUCCUUCCUGUUGCUCUAGGAAGCUGAGUGUCUGCUCCCAUCCGUGAAAGGGUUAGUGAGUUGCUACAGAGCUCCCACAGUGACACAUGAGAAGAAUGCAUGUGGUUUUGUCUGGACGCACUGGGAGGAGAACAGAGCCCUCUCUGGCCACCCAGGACUGAGGUGGGGAUACUCAGCGGUUGGCCUAGGUGUGUCAUGUCCUCUUCCAGGCACACUGAAGCCACUAGCGGUUUGUCCCAUACUGGCUGCAGAAAACACCAGAGGUGGUCACAACUCCUCUCACUUGGGCUUCCUGUGAUCCACAUUUGGAAGCAGAAGAAAACAUUUCUGAAGGCGAGGGCUAAGGCUGAACUCACCAAGAAACAGUUGCAGAACUCAAAGGCCAAGACAGAUGGAGGGUGUGGGAGGGCUCAGACACAACAAGCUCUAAGAUGGCAGAAAUAUGACCGCUCACAAAACCAAAUCGGCCAAGAGCCCUGCCUGCGUGUGACCCAGAUUCCAAAGGGAGGGCUUCCUAGUUCUAGACAUGUGGGCCAGAUUAGCAUUGGCUGUCUUUUCUGCCAGCAUGAAUUAAGCCCUCAUAAGGUGAUGGGUCCUGUCUGAGGAUGAGGGGAGCAAAUGAGCACAGCAGGGACAGCCGCAGUCAGUGGCGGGCCAGGGAAGGUGUCAGUGCUGGUACAGCUCAUUAUCAGAAAGGUUAAAGGUUUUUUCCUACUAAAACCAUCCUCACUUUUUAUACAUGCAACGGACUGUACGCGUAUAUACAUACAUAUCUACUGUAGUUUAAAGAGUAAUAAUAAUAGCCCCCAUAUGCCUCCAGCCUGCCAUGCUGCCUUUCUCCCUAGGCACCCCAUGUGCGCUUCCCUGACCUUCUCUUUCUCCCUGUUGAAUAUAGAAAGCCUCACCCUGUGUGUGGAUCGAAGCCUUCCUGCCCUUUAGCGGUUUGUCUCCAUGUAUGUAUUCUUAAAGAAAAAUAAACAGAAUUAAGCC
This 2441-nucleotide long non-coding RNA is filed under the name Mus musculus (house mouse). RNAcentral's name for it is "long non-coding RNA chr9:83598902-83601343". The record is from RNAcentral. Lineage: Eukaryota; Metazoa; Chordata; Mammalia; Rodentia; Muridae.